This 445-nucleotide ribosomal RNA is filed under the name uncultured bacterium. RNAcentral describes it as "partial 16S ribosomal RNA". It matches the Rfam family "Bacterial small subunit ribosomal RNA", at positions 354 to 796 of the family's 1533-position model. The record is from RNAcentral.
GUGAGGAAUAUUGGUCAAUGGGCGGAAGCCUGAACCAGCCAAGUCGCGUGAAGGAAGAAGGAUCUAUGGUUUGUAAACUUCUUUUGAAGGGGGAUAAAGUGCGUCACGAGUGGUGCAUUGCAGGUACCCUUGGAAUAAGCAUCGGCUAACUCCGUGCCAGCAGCCGCGGUAAUACGGAGGAUGCGAGCGUUAUCCGGAUUUAUUGGGUUUAAAGGGUGCGUAGGUGGCUUUUUAAGUCAGCGGUGAAAACUGGCGGCUAAACCGCAAGAGUGCCGUUGAAACUGGGGAGCUAGAGUAUGAACGAGGUAGGCGGAAUGUGUGGUGUAGCGGUGAAAUGCAUAGAUAUCACGCAGAACUCCGAUAGCGAAGGCAGCUUACCAGGCCAUAACAGACACUGAAGCACGAAAGCGUGGGGAUCGAACAGGAUUAGAAACCCGAGUAGUCC